GAUGAACGCUGGCGGCGUGCCUAAUACAUGCAGGUCGAGCGAACAGACGAGGAGCUUGCUCCUCUGACGUUAGCGGCGGACGGGUGAGUAACACGUGGAUAACCUACCUAUAAGACUGGGAUAACUUCGGGAAACCGGAGCUAAUACCGGAUAAUAUAUUGAACCGCAUGGUUCAAUAGUGAAAGACGGUUUUGCUGUCACUUAUAGAUGGAUCCGCGCCGCAUUAGCUAGUUGGUAAGGUAACGGCUUACCAAGGCAACGAUGCGUAGCCGACCUGAGAGGGUGAUCGGCCACCCUGGAACUGAGACACGGUCCAGACUCCUACGGGAGGCAGCAGUAGGGAAUCUUCCGCAAUGGGCGAAAGCCUGACGGAGCAACGCCGCGUGAGUGAUGAAGGUCUUCGGAUCGUAAAACUCUGUUAUUAGGGAAGAACAAAUGUGUAAGUAACUAUGCACGUCUUGACGGUACCUAAUCAGAAAGCCACGGCUAACUACGUG
Molecule: ribosomal RNA, 497 nt
Filed under: uncultured bacterium
Lineage: Bacteria
Description: partial 16S ribosomal RNA
Rfam family: Bacterial small subunit ribosomal RNA
Source: RNAcentral